CCUACGUGUGGCAGCAGUGAGGAAUAUUGGUCAAUGGCCGGAAGCCUGAACCAGCCAUGCCGCGUGAAGGUCAGUGCCCUAUGGGCGUUAAACUUCUUUUGUCCGGGAGCAAUAAUGUUCAGGUGUGGCCCUACGAGAUUACCGUUCGAAUCAGCAUCGGCUCACUCCGUGCCAGCAGCCGCGGUCAUACGGGGGAUGCAAGCGUUAUCCGGAUUUGUUGGGUUUAAGGGGUGCGUAGGCUGUGAGGUAAGUCAGCGGUGAAAUGCCCCCGCUCAACGGGGUGAAGUGCCAUUGAUACUGCCAGGCUGGAGUGCGGAUGCCGUGGGAGGAAUGUGUGGUGUAGCGGUGAAAUGCAUAGAGAUC
RNAcentral lists this ribosomal RNA (363 nucleotides) under uncultured bacterium. RNAcentral's name for it is "partial 16S ribosomal RNA". It matches the Rfam family "Bacterial small subunit ribosomal RNA", at positions 338 to 698 of the family's 1533-position model. The record is from RNAcentral.